Long non-coding RNA from Haliotis rubra (blacklip abalone), 292 nucleotides. RefSeq lists it as uncharacterized. The record is from RefSeq and is a predicted model, not a curated record. Lineage: Eukaryota; Metazoa; Mollusca; Gastropoda; Lepetellida; Haliotidae. The transcript is spliced from 2 exons.
UUCCGGGUUACCGUCCUGGGGUCAGCAUCCUGGGAUGGUGAGUGAGUGCCUCUGUCAUGAUGAUUUCUACUGUGGGUCGGACCUCCCAUGGCCUCACCAUAGAAAUACAGGUACUUGCAGGCCCUGGGGCGGCCUUCCAUAGAGUCCGGGACAUCGCCAUGCUGAACUUCAUCUCAGCCAUUGUCUGCAAGAAUAAAUGUUCACACCGAAAAUAUCAGUGCAUUUCUUAUUGGACUAAUGCCCCAAUCUGUUCCUAAAUAUGACGGCUAUAAUAAAGAAAUCACAGACGUCA